This 253-nucleotide ribosomal RNA is filed under the name uncultured bacterium. Its description in RNAcentral is "partial 16S ribosomal RNA". It matches the Rfam family "Bacterial small subunit ribosomal RNA", at positions 524 to 776 of the family's 1533-position model. The record is from RNAcentral.
UACGUAGGAGGCGAGCGUUGUCCGGAAUUACUGGGCGUAAAGCGUGCGCAGGCGGCUUUGCAAGACAGAUGUGAAAUCCCCGGGCUCAACCUGGGAACUGCAUUUGUGACUGCAUGGCUAGAGUAAGGUAGAGGGGGAUGGAAUUCCGCGUGUAGCAGUGAAAUGCGUAGAUAUGCGGAGGAACACCGAUGGCGAAGGCAAUCCCCUGGACCUGUACUGACGCUCAUGCACGAAAGCGUGGGGAGCAAACAGG